Molecule: ribosomal RNA, 506 nt
Filed under: uncultured bacterium
Lineage: Bacteria
Description: partial 16S ribosomal RNA
Rfam family: Bacterial small subunit ribosomal RNA
Source: RNAcentral
GAUGAACGCUAGCUACAGGCUUAACACAUGCAAGUCGAGGGGUAACGAGAGGAAAGCUUGCUUUCCUUGUCGACGACCGGCGCACGGGUGAGUAACGCGUAUCCAACCUGCCCCCAACUAGGGAAUAACCUUGCGAAAGUAAGACUAAUACCCUAUAAUUUCCUCAGAUGACAUCUGACGAGGAAUAAAGAUUUAUCGGUUGUGGAUGGGGAUGCGUCUGAUUAGCUUGUUGGCGGGGUAACGGCCCACCAAGGCAACGAUCAGGAGGGGUUUUAUGAGGAACGUCCCCAAAGUUGGAACUUAGACACGGUCAAAACUCCUAGGGGAUGAAUCAGAGAGGAAUAUUGGUCAAUGGGCGGAAGCCUGAACCAGCCAAGUAGCGUGCAUGAUGACGGCCCUAUGGGUUGUAAACUGCUUUUAUACAGGAAUAAAGUUAGCCACGUGUGGUUAUUUGUAGGUACUGUAUGAAUAAGGACCGGCUAAUUCCGUGCCAGCAGCCGCCGUAA